GGGCGGAUGGUUUAGUGGUAUAAUUUUCCCUUAGCAUCAUCUGACCAACGAGUCGGAUAACCGCAUGGGAAAGGUCCGGGGUUCGAUUCCCCGUUCGUCCA
RNAcentral lists this transfer RNA (101 nucleotides) under Trichoderma harzianum CBS 226.95. RNAcentral describes it as "tRNA-Ala". It matches the Rfam family "tRNA". Rfam says of the family: Transfer RNA (tRNA) molecules are approximately 80 nucleotides in length. Their secondary structure includes four short double-helical elements and three loops (D, anti-codon, and T loops). The record is from RNAcentral. RNAcentral also lists the same sequence under 4 other names. Lineage: Eukaryota; Fungi; Ascomycota; Sordariomycetes; Hypocreales; Hypocreaceae.